ACAGGGAUUGCCCUAGUAACGGCGAGUGAAGCGGCAACAGCUCAAAUUUGAAAUCUGGCUCUUGUAGAGUCCGAGUUGUAAUUUGCAGAGGGCGCUUUGGCUUUGGCAGCGGUCCAAGUUCCUUGGAACAGGACGUCACAGAGGGUGAGAAUCCCGUACGUGGUCGCUGGCUAUUGCCGUGUAAAGCCCCUUCGACGAGUCGAGUUGUUUGGGAAUGCAGCUCUAAAUGGGAGGUACAUUUCUUCUAAAGCUAAAUAUUGGCCAGAGACCGAUAGCGCACAAGUAGAGUGAUCGAAAGAUGAAAAGCACUUUGGAAAGAGAGUCAAACAGCACGUGAAAUUGUUGAAAGGGAAGCGCUUGCAGCCAGACUUGCUUGCAGUUGCUCAUCCGGGCUUUUGCCCGGUGCACUCUUCUGUAGGCAGGCCAGCAUCAGUUUGGGCGGUAGGAUAAAGGUCUCUGUCACGUACCUCCUUUCGGGGAGGCCUUAUAGGGGAGACGACAUACUACCAGCCUGGACUGAGGUCCGCGCAUCUGCUAGGAUGCUGGCGUAAUGGCUGUAAGCGGCCCGUCUUGAAACACGGACCAAGGAGUCUAACAUCUAUGCGAGUGUUUGGGUGUCAAGCCCGAGCGCGUAAUGAAAGUGAACGGAGGUGGGAACCCGCAAGGGUGCACCAUCGACCGAUCCUGAUGUCUUCGGAAGGAUUUGAGUAAGAGCAUGGCUGUUGGGACCCGAAAGAUGGUGAACUAUGCUUGAAUAGGGUGAAGCCAGAGGAAACUCUGGUGGAGGCUCGCAGCGGUUCUGACGUGCAAAUCGAUCGUCAAAUUUGGGCAUAGGGGCGAAAGACUAAU
RNAcentral lists this ribosomal RNA (849 nucleotides) under Alternaria vaccariicola. RNAcentral's name for it is "eukaryotic LSU rRNA". It matches the Rfam family "Eukaryotic large subunit ribosomal RNA", at positions 68 to 935 of the family's 3401-position model. RNAcentral also lists the same sequence under 1 other name. Lineage: Eukaryota; Fungi; Ascomycota; Dothideomycetes; Pleosporales; Pleosporaceae. The record is from RNAcentral.